This 185-nucleotide non-coding RNA is filed under the name Bacillus sp. (in: firmicutes). The record is from RNAcentral. Lineage: Bacteria; Bacillati; Bacillota; Bacilli; Caryophanales; Bacillaceae.
UGAAUUAUUUCAAGCGAAGGUGUCCAUUUACUGGACUUAAUAGGGAAUCCGGUUUGACUCCGGAACUGUCCCCGCAACUGUAUUUGUGAACGAACAAGACUAACCACUGUAUCUAAAUUGAUAUGGGAAGGUUCUUAAGUAGGCUGCACAUAAGUCAGGAGACCUGCCUUUUCUUGAAAGUUUCA